RNAcentral lists this transfer RNA (92 nucleotides) under Sphingobium indicum UT26S. RNAcentral describes it as "Sphingobium japonicum UT26S tRNA-Ser (TGA)". It matches the Rfam family "tRNA". Rfam says of the family: Transfer RNA (tRNA) molecules are approximately 80 nucleotides in length. Lineage: Bacteria; Pseudomonadati; Pseudomonadota; Alphaproteobacteria; Sphingomonadales; Sphingobiaceae. The record is from RNAcentral.
CGGACAGGUGGCCGAGUGGUUUAAGGCAGCGGUCUUGAAAACCGCCGUGGGUUCACGCUCACCGUGGGUUCGAAUCCCACCCUGUCCGCCAU